UUCUGCCGCACACACAUCGCCAUAGAAAGCUCGUCCACAAGAUGAAGGUCACAUCUUGAGUCUCCAGAUUCUCCUCAGCAACAUGCAUGACCUCUUCAUCAGUCUGAAAAUGGUGACCUCUGGAUGGUGAUUUCAGUUUGGGAAACAGUCGCUGCAGGUCAGCCCCUGAAGUCAUCGGAGCUUUGGGCACUCGGCCAGGACAGGAUUUAAAUCUGCCCAUUCUCCUCCUGAGGAAGCCGUCUUCACGAUCUGCCCUGCAGCCGAACAUGGGGGGCAAUAAGUGGUGCAGAGGGGAUGACAAACGACAAUGAGUCAGGAAAUUACUUUGUGUACAGCCGGUAUUAUUCAUAAAGCAC
Molecule: long non-coding RNA, 356 nt
Organism: Amphiprion ocellaris (clown anemonefish)
Lineage: Eukaryota; Metazoa; Chordata; Actinopteri; Pomacentridae
Source: Ensembl